UUCGGGGUAGCUCAGCCGGUAGAGCGGGCGGCUGUUAACCGCAAGGUCGUGGGUUCGAUUCCCACCCCCGGAG
This 73-nucleotide transfer RNA is filed under the name Planctomycetaceae bacterium SCGC AG-212-F19. It matches the Rfam family "tRNA". Rfam says of the family: Transfer RNA (tRNA) molecules are approximately 80 nucleotides in length. Their secondary structure includes four short double-helical elements and three loops (D, anti-codon, and T loops). Lineage: Bacteria; Pseudomonadati; Planctomycetota; Planctomycetia; Planctomycetales; Planctomycetaceae. The record is from Rfam by way of RNAcentral.